CCCUUAGAUGUUCUGGGCCGCACGCGCGCUACACUGACGAAGUCAGCGAGCAUGUCCUACGCCGACAGGUGCGGGGAAUCUUGUCAAACUUCGUCGUGAUGGGGAUUGAUUAUUGAAAUUCUUGAUCAUCAACGAGGAAUUCCUAGAAAGCGCAAGUCAGCAGCUUGCGUUGAUUACGUCCCUGCCCUUUGUACACACCGCCCGUCGCUACUACCGAUUGAAUGGUUUAGUGAGAUCUUCGGAUUGGCGCCACUGCGGCUCAGCAAUGGGCUCGGUGGAUGCCGAAAAGUUGAUCAAACUUGAUCAUUUAGAGGAAGUAAAAGUCGUAACA
This 331-nucleotide ribosomal RNA is filed under the name uncultured eukaryote. RNAcentral's name for it is "partial 18S ribosomal RNA". It matches the Rfam family "Eukaryotic small subunit ribosomal RNA", at positions 1470 to 1796 of the family's 1831-position model. The record is from RNAcentral.